RNAcentral lists this small RNA (307 nucleotides) under Hapsidospora chrysogenum ATCC 11550. RNAcentral describes it as "Acremonium chrysogenum ATCC 11550 A. fumigatus sRNA Afu_309". It matches the Rfam family "A. fumigatus sRNA Afu_309". Lineage: Eukaryota; Fungi; Ascomycota; Sordariomycetes; Hypocreales; Bionectriaceae. The record is from Rfam by way of RNAcentral.
UUCUCAUCACGGAUCUGUGCCAGCGCUCCUCUGCUCCCGACCAACGGGAUGUCAGGGUCGAGUGCUGAGCAGCUCGAUACACACAUGGAGCCAUCAACUCGAUAUGGUGUCAAUCUUCCUGUCGACAGGUCCUAGAGAAACGGUCCUCCCCGUUUUCUGGCUGGUUCGUCGUUCCGACCUUUGCGGGUUGGCGCGGCUUGAGCUGCAAAGGCUGGUUGGGGAGUGUCCGGGGCGCUAUAUUCCACUCCGUUUUUCCGAGACCAUUGGUCUUUGAGGUUGGGGAAAACCAUAGCAAUUGCCUACAUUU